This 471-nucleotide ribosomal RNA is filed under the name Salmonella enterica. RNAcentral describes it as "bacterial SSU rRNA". It matches the Rfam family "Bacterial small subunit ribosomal RNA", at positions 1 to 468 of the family's 1533-position model. Lineage: Bacteria; Pseudomonadati; Pseudomonadota; Gammaproteobacteria; Enterobacterales; Enterobacteriaceae. The record is from RNAcentral. RNAcentral also lists the same sequence under 4 other names.
AAAUUGAAGAGUUUGAUCAUGGCUCAGAUUGAACGCUGGCGGCAGGCCUAACACAUGCAAGUCGAACGGUAACAGGAAGCAGCUUGCUGCUUUGCUGACGAGUGGCGGACGGGUGAGUAAUGUCUGGGAAACUGCCUGAUGGAGGGGGAUAACUACUGGAAACGGUGGCUAAUACCGCAUAACGUCGCAAGACCAAAGAGGGGGACCUUCGGGCCUCUUGCCAUCAGAUGUGCCCAGAUGGGAUUAGCUAGUUGGUGAGGUAACGGCUCACCAAGGCGACGAUCCCUAGCUGGUCUGAGAGGAUGACCAGCCACACUGGAACUGAGACACGGUCCAGACUCCUACGGGAGGCAGCAGUGGGGAAUAUUGCACAAUGGGCGCAAGCCUGAUGCAGCCAUGCCGCGUGUAUGAAGAAGGCCUUAGGGUUGUAAAGUACUUUCAGCGGGGAGGAAGGUGUUGUGGUUAAUAACC